CAUUCCGCUGGCAUCUUGCGUUCACGCCUCCGUUUGACUGUCGCUCGGGCUAAAAAGAAACGUUGAUGAAACUACAAACUAAGGCCUAAAAGUUUCAUUAUCUCACUGCUUGCAUCAACAGCGACAGGGUUAUCUGUCUUCUUCGUGAAAAAGCCAGGCAGAGGAAGAGAACUGGGUGGCGUGAUGUAAUAAAAGCCGAUCCGGCAUAAAACCCAUUAACUAUGUGCAUCGACUCAGUGAGUCGAACCUGAGUCGGAACCAGAACGGCAUCAGGACCCAGCAUAUCGAUUGAGACGAAACCCAGGUCUUCACUUUUCAGUUUUCACAGCCUGUGUGUUAUGACUCUCUCUUGGAGUCUCAUCCUUCUUUCCGGGCUCGAUUAAAUCUUCCUUGCCUCGUUUGAGAAUCUUGACUUGUCCCGUAACAAGGUUGCUGUUGUUGUUCUUGGGUACAGCGG
Molecule: long non-coding RNA, 457 nt
Filed under: Populus tremula
Lineage: Eukaryota; Viridiplantae; Streptophyta; Magnoliopsida; Malpighiales; Salicaceae
Description: long non-coding RNA (PTRE_LNC000101)
Source: RNAcentral